This 396-nucleotide ribosomal RNA is filed under the name uncultured bacterium. RNAcentral's name for it is "partial 16S ribosomal RNA". It matches the Rfam family "Bacterial small subunit ribosomal RNA", at positions 523 to 918 of the family's 1533-position model. The record is from RNAcentral.
AUACGUAGGGUGCGAGCGUUAAUCGGAAUUACUGGGCGUAAAGCGUGCGCAGGCGGUUUUGUAAGCCAGAUGUGAAAUCCCCGGGCUUAACCUGGGAAUGGCAUUUGGGACUGCAAGGCUGGAGUGCGGCAGAGGAGACUGGAAUUCCUGGUGUAGCAGUGAAAUACGUAGAUAUCAGGAGGAACACCGAUGGCGAAGGCAGGUCUCUGGGCUGACACUGACGCUCAUGCACGAAAGCGUGGGGAGCAAACAGGAUUAGAUACCCUGGUAGUCCACGCCCUAAACGAUGUCGACUGGUUGUUGGGGGUUUGACACUCUCAGUAACGAAGCUAACGCGUGAAGUCGACCGCCUGGGGAGUACGGCCGCAAGGUUAAAACUCAAAUGAAUUGGCGGGG